UCUUGAAUAAAAUUUUAUGAUGAAAAAGUGAUUUUUUCAUCUAAAAAGUGAAUGAACCUUAUAUUUUUUAUUUCAACAGCAAUAUAUUAAAAAAUUUAAAGUAACAUUUAGCAAGUAAUAUAAAAGUUGCUUAAUUUUUCUACUAAUAAAAUCGUUCUAAAUAUAAAAACCUACCAAUAAAACAAAUCAGCUGUUAUCCGUCAAUCGAUGUCAACAAAAUUACAUAAUUUUGUUUAGAAAAACAGUGAAGUUUUACUAUUUUAUGGUGUCAAUUCGAAAUUGAUAAAUAUGUGUUUUAAAAAGAAAAUAUCGUCGCGCAAAUUGUUGUGUUAAACGCAUGGAACAACCCCGUAAAAUUUGUCUUAUUAGCGAUUUUUGUAUAAUGUAGGCCAAUGUAAUUAGUUAUGGAUCGAAAUAAUAUAAUAGAAUGUGGAGGAUUUUAUUUUAUUCAUAAUUUUGACUCUGGAAAUCUGGGACAUGUAGAGCGAGUCCCAACGGAGCUUAUUGCUCCAACAGUCAAUCAGAAAACAAACACUUCAGAAACACCUGAUUAUGAAUUCAAUCUGUGGACAAGGCCUGAUUGUGCUGGCACUGAGUUUGAGAAUGGUAACCGUACCUGGUUUUACUUUGGCAUACAGGCAGCUGAACCAAAUGUGCAGGUGAGGUUGAAUAUCAUAAACCUGAACAAGCAAGGCAAAAUGUAUAAUCAAGGGAUGGCACCAGUGACUAGGACACUGCCAGGGAAACCGCAAUGGGAAAGGAUAAGAGACCGUCCUGUUCAUUCGACUGAUGACAAUACCUUUACACUCAGUUUCAAGUACCGAACUAGCGAAAACCCCAAGGCAACAACAUUUUUUGCUUUCACAUAUCCAUUCUCAUUUGCCGAGUUGCAAAUAGCUUUAAAUUCUAUUGAUCUCAAAAUGCUGCCAUUGCCCUCGCCGCAAUCACCUGAUGAUAUCUACUAUUACAGAGAAUGUCUUAUUUACUCUCUCGAAGGGAGAAGGGUGGAUUUGCUAACUAUUUCAUCACAUCAUGGUAUAACAACAGAAAGAGAGGAGCGACUAAAAAAUUUGUUUCCUGACAACCAAGAAAGACCAUUGAAGUUUCAAAACAAAAAGGUGAUAUUCAUAUCUGCCCGAGUACAUCCAGGAGAAACACCUUCAAGUUUCGUAUUCAAUGGGUUUUUAAACUUGAUACUAACCAGGAAUGACCCCAUCGCCAUUCAGCUCAGGAAGAUAUAUGUGUUCAAAAUGAUACCAUUUCUUAACCCAGAUGGGGUGGCCAGGGGUCAUUACAGAACUGAUACUAGGGGGGUGAAUCUUAACAGGGUGUAUUUAAACCCCUCAUUAACGUAUCAUCCCACGGUGUAUGCAUCGCGAGCUUUAAUAAGAUACUAUCACUUUGGAUAUGAAAAGGAGGAAGACGUAUUUGAAGAUAGCAAGAGCUUUACUUCGAGGAGCAUUGGAAACAUUAGUGAAAGUGCUGAGUUUAUAGAUACCAAAAAAAAGAAGAAUGCUUUCAAAGGAUCCGAUUAUAAACGAGAGAAAUCAUCAUCGGCAAAAUCAGUGAUGAAGAACAAAUCAUCUACCACUAUAAAGCCGGUUUCAAAUGAGGCUUCAAAAGACUUUCAGUCUAUUAGUGGUGAAGCUUCAAAUUUGGCUGACCAGGUAUACGACAUGAAACUGCAAGAGAUGCCGUCCCAAACGACGGAGACAAUGUCCGACGUGUCCAACACGAAUAUGGAAGACACUAGGUCAUUGCUCAACGACAAAGUACUGAGGUCGUGCCUGGGGUCCACCGUUCACUUGAGUACUAGCGAGGAGCUGAACAUGCAUGGUGGCAACCCGUUGAAACCGCUCCGGGAUACACUGAAGAAUAGUAUCAGCCUGCUUAUGGAGUCCAGUAGUUCUGUUGCUGGGGACAGUGCGAUGGGCAGCAAAGACCGCAUGGCGAACGUGAAAGUGGGCUGGUGUGAGGAGUGCCGGCGCGCGGUCAGUCGUAUGGAGGACACUAUGCCCGGCAUAGCGAGCAUGGUGCCGGGGUAUAGUGCUACUAUGAUGAUUCCCGACCCUCCAACCUAUCACUCCAUAGACGAGUAUCGUGAACACCAAAGACUCCAAAUUGAUGAACAGCAACGGAAGUUGCAGGACACGGAGUAUUCGAAGGAAGGCGACAAUAUUUACUUUUGUACAAACUGUUUCAAAAGAUACGUGAUAUCUGAGUUCAACGAAGAAGUGAAAAUAUCAGAAACGAUAUCAUCGACGAGCGUGGGUGUGAGCGUGUGCGCGGGCGACGGCGGCGACGUGUGCGCCGCGCUCGCGCCUCGCAACGUGCUCUCCGCUACCGACACGCUUCUUAUCCCACCCCCACCGAUUGUCAAGGAGGAAAAGCCAAAGUCUCCUACAAAGACGAUAAUUAAAAAGAAACCACCGACCGCUAACACUACUAUUGUAACAAAAAGCACCUACAAAGAACCAGAUAGUGGACUCUUCUUAUACAUUGAUUUACAUGGCCAUGCUUCUAAGAAAGGUAUUUUCAUGUACGGCAAUCACUUCGAAGACGUCGACAAUUCUGUGGAGUGUAUGCUGCUCCCACGCAUUAUGUCCCUCAACAAUUUGCACUUUCAUUUCUCCUCGUGCAACUUUACUGAGCGAAAUAUGUAUCUCAAAGACCGACGGGACGGCAUGUCGCGCGAGGGCAGCGGGCGCGUGGCCGUGCUCAAGGCCACCGGGCUCGUGCGCUCGUACACGCUCGAGUGCAACUACAACACGGGGCGGCUGGUGAACGUGCUGCCGCCGCCCGUGCGCGACGCGCCCCCCCCGCCCGCCGCGCCCGCCGCGCCCGCGCCGCACGCGCACUCCCCCCUCCCGCCCAAGUACACGCCGCACAUCUUCGAAGAGGUGGGUCGUUCGCUAGGAGCAUCCAUCCUGGACCUGACUGGCCAGCAUCCAAACUCUCGCAUCCCGUGCUCAGAGCACCGCAACCUCGCGGCACUGCGUGAUUGGCUGCGGGCGCACACACGCACUAUGCGGCCCCAGUGUUAAUUCGUCCCCAAAACUACUAUAAAACUCCAGGUUCUUACUAAAACAGUAUGGUUGACCAUGUCCCGACUGCGACCGAAGGCAUCGUCACCGACGAGGGUGCCGUUGUACGCGAGGUCGAAAGCGAAAGUGACAGAGGA
Molecule: unclassified non-coding RNA, 3181 nt
Filed under: Zerene cesonia (dogface butterfly)
Lineage: Eukaryota; Metazoa; Arthropoda; Insecta; Lepidoptera; Pieridae
Description: cytosolic carboxypeptidase-like protein 5, transcript variant X1
Source: RNAcentral